GAUCAAAGUGUAGUAUCUGUUCUUAUCAGCUUAAUAUCUGAUACGUUGUACAUUGUACAACUAUGAUAUUAAACUGAUUUUUGGAACUGGGAGAAGAUUCAGGGGCUUGCUCCGACUUCUCCACGGGUUGGCC
RNAcentral lists this small nuclear RNA (133 nucleotides) under Polyophthalmus pictus. Its description in RNAcentral is "partial U2 small nuclear RNA". It matches the Rfam family "U2 spliceosomal RNA", at positions 25 to 156 of the family's 192-position model. From Rfam's summary of the family: U2 is a small nuclear RNA (snRNA) component of the spliceosome (involved in pre-mRNA splicing). Complementary binding between U2 snRNA (in an area lying towards the 5' end but 3' to hairpin I) and the branchpoint sequence (BPS) of the intron results the bulging out of an unpaired adenosine, on the BPS, which initiates a nucleophilic attack at the intronic 5' splice site, thus starting the first of two transesterification reactions that mediate splicing. The record is from RNAcentral. Lineage: Eukaryota; Metazoa; Annelida; Polychaeta; Opheliidae.